RNAcentral lists this ribosomal RNA (253 nucleotides) under uncultured bacterium. RNAcentral's name for it is "partial 16S ribosomal RNA". It matches the Rfam family "Bacterial small subunit ribosomal RNA", at positions 524 to 776 of the family's 1533-position model. The record is from RNAcentral.
UACAGAGGUGGCAAGCGUUGUUCGGAAUUACUGGGCGUAAAGGGCUCGUAGGUGGCCAACUAAGUCAGACGUGAAAUCCCCAGGCUCAACCUGGGAACUGCGUCUGAUACUGGAUGGCUUGAAUUCGGGAGAGGGAUGCAGAAUUCCAGGUGUAGCGGUGAAAUGCGUAGAUAUCUGGAGGAAUACCGGUGGCGAAGGCGGCAUCCUGGACCGAGAUUGACACUGAUGAGCGAAAGCCAGGGGAGCAAACGGG